Lagopus muta (rock ptarmigan) is the source of this 2220-nucleotide long non-coding RNA. RefSeq lists it as uncharacterized. The transcript has 3 exons. Lineage: Eukaryota; Metazoa; Chordata; Aves; Galliformes; Phasianidae. The record is from RefSeq and is a predicted model, not a curated record.
ACUGAUGGUUAAAGUCACUGAUGGGAGGGCUGCUGAGGCUAAAGGGUGGCUGGCAUGAUGGUUAUUGUGACUGAUGGUUAAAGUCACUGCUGGGAGGGCUGCUGAGGCUAAAGUGUGGCUGGCAUGAUGGUUGUUCAUGUGACUGAUGGAAAUUGUCACUGGUGGGAGGGCUGGCGAGGCUGAGAUACUGAUGGCUUAAAGGUGUUGGUUGGAAAAUGUCUUUGAUGGGAGGGCUGGGGUGGCUGAUGUUCUGGUGGCUUAAAGGUGUUGGUUGUGACUCAUGGUUAAAGUCACUGAUUGGAGGGCUGGCAUGUGUGAAGAAGUCAUGGCUAAGAGGUGUUGGUUGUGAAUCAUGGUUAAAGUCACUGAUAGGGGGGUUGGUGUAGCUAAAGAAGUCGUGUCUAAAAUUUAUUGAUUGUGACUGAUGUUUAUAGUCACUCAUAAGGCUGGCAUGGCUGAAGAUCUGAUGGCUACAAGGUCUUGGUUGUGACUGAUGGUCACUGAUGGGAAGGCUGGCAUGGCUGAAGUAUUGAUGGCCUAAGGUUGUCGGUUCUGAUGGUUAGUUAAAGUCACAGAUUGGGAGUACUGGGUUUUAACUGAUCAUUCAAGUCACUAAUGGGAGCCCUGGCAUGCUCUAACUAUUGAGGGCUAACAGUUGUUGGUUUUUAUUGAUGGUUAAUGUCACUGAUAGGAACAUCGGAAUGUCUGAAGUAUGGAUGGGUAAAAGGUCUUGGUUGUGAGUGAUGGCUAUAGUCACUGAUGGGAGACUGGCAUGGCUAAAGUAUGGCUGUCAUAAAGGUUUUUGCUGUGACUGAUGGUUAAAGUCACUGGUGGGAGGGCUGGCGAGGCUGAGGUACUGAUGGCUUAAAGGUCCUGGUUGUGGCUAUUGGUUCAAGUCAGUGGUGGCAGGGCUGGCGUGGCUACAGUAUGGCUGGCUUAAAGGUGUUGGUUGUGACUGAUGGUUCAAGUCACUGAUGGGAGGGCUGGCGAGGCUGUGGUACAGGUGGCUUAGAGAUGCUGUUUGUGACUGAUGGUUAAAAGUCAUUGGUGGGAGGGCUGGCGAGGCUAAAGUAUGGCUGGCAUGAAGGUUUUUCUUGUAACUGGUGGUUAAAGUCACUGGUUGGAAGGCUGUCGAGGCUGAGGUACUGAUGGCUUAAAGGUGUCUGUUGUGACUGAUGGAAAAUGUCACUGAUGGGAGGGCUGGCAUGACUAAAGAGUGGCUGGCAUGAUGGUUUUUCUUGUGAUUGAUGUAACAUGUCACUGGUGGGAGGGCUGGCGAGGCUGAUGUUCUGAUGACUUCAAGGUGUUGGUUGUGACUGAUGGUUAAAGUCACUGAUGGGAGGGCUGGUGUUUCUAAAGGGUGGCUGGCAUGAUCAUUAUUGUUGUGACUGGUGGUUAAAGUCACUGCUGGGAGGGCUGGCGAGGCUAAAGUGUGGCUGGCAUGAUGGUUGUUCAUGUGACUGAUGGAAAUUGUCACUGAUGGGAGGGCUGGCUUGGCUAAAGUAUGGCUGUCAUAAAGGUUUUUGCUGUGACUGAUGGUUAAAGUCACUGGUGGGAGGGCUGGUAUGGCUAAAGAGUGGCUGGCUUAUGGUUGUUCAUGUGACUGAUGGAAAUUGUCACUGGUGGGAGGGCUGGCGAGGCUGAGGUACUGAUGGCUUAAAGGUCUUGGUUGUGGCUAUUGGUUCAAGUCAGUGGUGGCAGGGCUGGCGUGGCUAAAGUAUGGCUGGCUUAAAGGCGUUGGUUGUGACUGAUGGUUCAAGUCACGGAUUGGGAAGGCUGGCAUGGCUGAAGUAUUGAUGGCCAAAAGUUGUUGGUUCUGAUGGUUAGUUAAAGUCACAGAUUGGGAGUACUGGGUUUUAACUGAUCAUUCAAGUCACUAAUGGGAGCCCUGGCAUGGUCUAACUAUUGAGGGCUAACAGUUGUUGGUUUUUAUUGAUGGUUAAUGUCACUGAUAGGAACAUCGGAAUGUCUGAAGAAUGGAUGGGUAAAAGGUCUUGGUUGUGAGUGAAGGCUAUAGUCACUGAUGGGAGGGCUGGCUUGGCUAAAGUAUGGCUGUCAUAAAGGUUUUUGCUGUGACUGAUGGUUCAAGUCACUGAUGGGAGGGCUGGCGAGGCUGAGGUACUGAUGGCUUAAAGGUGUCUGUUGUGACUGAUGGAAAAUGUCACUGAUGGGAGGGCUGGCAUGGCUAAAGAGUGGCUGGCAUGAUGGUUCUUCUUGUGA